AUACGGAGGGUCCGAGCGUUAAUCGGAAUUACUGGGCGUAAAGCGCGCGUAGGUGGAUGUAUAAGUCAGAUGUGAAAGCCCUGGGCUCAACCUAGGAACUGCAUUUGAAACUGUACGUCUAGAGUAUGGUAGAGGUGAGUGGAAUUUCAGGUGUAGCGGUGAAAUGCGUAGAGAUCUGAAGGAACAUCAGUGGCGAAGGCGACUCACUGGGCCAUUACUGACACUGAGGUGCGAAAGCGUGGGUAGCAAACAGGAUUAGAAACCCGAGUAGUCC
RNAcentral lists this ribosomal RNA (274 nucleotides) under uncultured bacterium. RNAcentral describes it as "partial 16S ribosomal RNA". It matches the Rfam family "Bacterial small subunit ribosomal RNA", at positions 523 to 796 of the family's 1533-position model. The record is from RNAcentral.